AGCAGCCGCGGUAAUUCCAGCUCCAAUAGCGUAUAUUAAAGUUGUUGCAGUUAAAAAGCUCGUAGUUGAAUUUCGGGAUCAAUAUUUCGGUCAUGCCGUUGGUAUGCACUGUUAUCAUUGAUUUCUCACCUUCUAAAGAACCGUAAUGCCAUUAAUUUGGUGUUACGGGGAAUUAGGACUGUUACCUUGAAAAAUUAGAGUGUUUAAAGCAGGCUCACGCUUGAAUACAUUAGCAUGGAAUAAUGAAAUAGGACAUCCGAUUCUAUUUUGUUGGUUUCUAGGAUCGAUGUAAUGAUUAAUAGGGAUAGUUGGGGGCAUUAGUAUUCAAUUGUCAGAGGUGAAAUUCUUGGAUUUAUUGAAGACUAACUACUGCGAAAGCAUUUGCCAAGGAUGUUUUCAUUAAUCAAGAACGAAAGUUAGGGGAUCGAAGACGAUCAGAUACCGUCGUAGUCUUAACCAUAAACUAUGCCGACUAGGGAUCGGAUGAUGUUAAUUUUUAAUGACUCAUUC
This 510-nucleotide ribosomal RNA is filed under the name uncultured Glomus. RNAcentral's name for it is "SSU rRNA". It matches the Rfam family "Eukaryotic small subunit ribosomal RNA", at positions 569 to 1081 of the family's 1831-position model. Lineage: Eukaryota; Fungi; Glomeromycota; Glomeromycetes; Glomerales; Glomeraceae. The record is from RNAcentral.